Molecule: transfer RNA, 85 nt
Filed under: Felis catus (domestic cat)
Lineage: Eukaryota; Metazoa; Chordata; Mammalia; Carnivora; Felidae
Rfam family: tRNA
About the family: Transfer RNA (tRNA) molecules are approximately 80 nucleotides in length. Their secondary structure includes four short double-helical elements and three loops (D, anti-codon, and T loops).
Source: Rfam by way of RNAcentral
GCCUGGGUGGCUCAGUCGGUUGAGCGUCCGACUUCGACUCAGGUCAUGAUCUCAUGGUCUGUGGGUUCGAGCCCCACAUCGGGCU